UGGGGAAUAUUGGACAAUGGGGGCAACCCUGAUCCAGCCAUGCCGCGUGAGUGAUGAAGGGCCUUCGGGUUGUAAAGCUCUUUUGGCGGGGACGAUGAUGACGGUACCCGCAGAAUAAGCCCCGGCUAACUUCGUGCCAGCAGCCGCGGUAAGACGAAGGGGGCUAGCGUUGUUCGGAAUUACUGGGCGUAAAGCGAGUGUAGGCGGUUGCCGUAGUCAGGUGUGAAAGCCUUGAGCUCAACUCAAGAAAUGCACUUGAUACUGGGUGACUAGAGGACCGGAGAGGAUAGUGGAAUUCCCAGUGUAGUGGUGAAAUACGUAGAGAUUGGGGAGAACACCAGUGGCGAAGGCGGCUAUCUGGACGGUUACUGACGCUAAGACUCGAAAGCGUGGGGAGCAAACAGGAUUAGAUACCCUGGUAGUCCACGCCGUAAACGAUGGGUGCUAGACGUUGGCGAGCUUGCUCGUCAGUGUCGCAGCUAACGCGUUAAGCACCCCGCCUGGGGAGUAACGGCCGCAAGGUUGAAAACUUAAAGGAAUUGACGGGGGUCAUAGCUGUUUCCU
This 564-nucleotide ribosomal RNA is filed under the name uncultured bacterium. RNAcentral describes it as "partial 16S ribosomal RNA". It matches the Rfam family "Bacterial small subunit ribosomal RNA", at positions 355 to 938 of the family's 1533-position model. The record is from RNAcentral.